CGUUUUUUUUUUUUUUGGACACUGUUGCACGCCAUUCGGUCGACAACAUUGUUCGAUCGAAACCGUUUCAAGUGUUUUACCGUUAGUUACCCACAUGAAAAAGACUGUACCUAUUCAAGAAAAUUAUUAUUAUAAUGAAAUUAUUCAAAAACUUGAUGAUCAAUGGAGAGCACUGCCAAAGUCAUUACAUCUUCUACCAGACACUAUUACUAAUUUACGGUUUAUUAUGCAAAAUCCGUACGAAGCAAUAUAGUCUGUAAACACCAAAGUAUAAAUUAUCAUAUGCAGAUAGUGUAACAUUUAUUAAGCUACUGCAGCUAUGAGAAAAAUGUCUCAUCUUCAAAAACAGAGUUACAGCUGCCAAAAGUAUGUCAUAGAAUAUUUUGGAUUCUAAACUAUAAAAUCUCAAUACAACUGCUGCAACAAUUUUUACCUGAUAACUAUUAUUUGAGACAAACAAGAUAAACAAUAAAGCUAAGAGAAGAAGAAAUUCUUUUUCUGUCUCUAUACACAAAGAGUGCCAAGUCGUAAACAAUUGUAUUCAAACUCUAGAAGAUGUCUUUAUCUGGAAGACAAAUNCUUACAAAUUAUCUUUUUUAACUACCUAUUGAUACCAGAAUAUUGAUAAAACCAUUAUAAAAGUGUUAAAUGAAAAUAUCAAAAUGUUUACAAAUUGUUAAAAUAUAUUGUUUAAUAGUUCUUUUUGUUGAAGUAUUGAAAGUAAUCUUCAGUAAAAUGACAAUAUUGGUUCANUUUCUAGAAUCAAAAAUAAUGGUGUUUCAAGAACUCAAAAUUUUGCUGAUCACUCACUUGUUUUCAUAAAAAGAGAAGUUAUGAAAAAUAUAUAAAUAACCUAUAUCUUAUACUUCUUAUAAAAGUUCAACUAUCAGCCAUGAUUUAUAUAUAUAAUAUAUUUAAGACCGUUCAGUCCACUGGUUUAAAAAUUGUAAAAAUUGUAGCAACCAUUAGUGAACAGGUUACCGUUAACAUUGCAGUAAUAAAUAUUUUGAAGAACGAUACAAACGCAUAUUAUUUACAAAAAAUGNGUAUAAAGAUGACCUAUAUUACAACAUUUAUUGUGAUACUCAAUGUUUGAAGAUAAUUAAUUUAUAUGAGCUCAUUUAUCAAAAGCUAUCAGAAAUAAUAUGCUUAAAAAAACGUUGUUUUCAAAAUUUAUAGUGAACAUAACAAAGUUGAUUUAUAUAAAUUGUACAGUAAUAUUCCAGAUGUAAAAAUGUCAUUAAGAUUAACACGGGGACAUGUUGACCGAAAUAAAAUUAAAAAAAUUAAACUGAAAAAUGCUACUCAAGUGCUUAGUGAACAAGUGUCAUCAAUAUGUUUAUUUAUUAAUUAUUAAUGUUCUAAAAGAAAAUUCCAAAGAUACGGCUAAGUUCUGUCUUCUAUUUGACAGACUUUUGGAUAAAUUUCAUCAAANUGGCAUUUAAAGAAAUUCCGUCCAUCACAAUCUGUCAAACAAGUCAGUAAACAUUUUUGAUUCUAUGUAUUUUAUCAACUUGAGCUUAGAUUAGUUUGCAUAAAAAAUUGUUUUAGUCCAUAACCUCCUACACUUAAAAAUUGGACAAGAUCCAUUAGAAGUUACCAGAGUUAAUAAUUUAAAAAGUAUACCUACCUAAAUUAAAAUUUCAUAAUGUUUUGAAACUAUUAAAAUUAUAA
RNAcentral lists this long non-coding RNA (1674 nucleotides) under Diuraphis noxia (Russian wheat aphid). RNAcentral describes it as "uncharacterized LOC107171239". Lineage: Eukaryota; Metazoa; Arthropoda; Insecta; Hemiptera; Aphididae. The record is from RNAcentral.